CUGGCGGCGUGCUUAACACAUGCAAGUCGAACGCGAAAGGGGACUUCGGUCCUGAGUAAAGUGGCGCACGGGUGAGUAACGCGUAGAUAACCUGUCUUCAUGUCUGGAAUAAUACGCCAAAGGGGUACUAAUACCGGAUAUUCUUGCUUUUCAUAAGUUAUGCAAGCAAAGGUGGCCUCUGCAUAUGCUACUGCAUGAAGAGGGGUCUGCGUACCAUUAGCUAGUAGGUGGGGUAAUGGCCUACCUAGGCGACGAUGGUUAGCGGGUCUGAGAGGAUGAUCCGCCACACUGGCACUGGAACACGGGCCAGACUCCUACGGGAGGCAGCAGUGAGGAAUAUUGCGCAAUGGGGGAAACCCUGACGCAGCGACGCCGCGUGAAGUGAGGAAGGCCUUCGGGUCGUAAAGCUCUGUCAAGAGGAAAGAAGUGUACAAUGGCUAAUACCUGUUGUAUUUGACGGUACCUCUAAAGGAAGCACCGGCUAACUCCGUGCCAGCAGCCGC
This 503-nucleotide ribosomal RNA is filed under the name uncultured bacterium. RNAcentral's name for it is "bacterial SSU rRNA". It matches the Rfam family "Bacterial small subunit ribosomal RNA", at positions 36 to 518 of the family's 1533-position model. The record is from RNAcentral.